RNAcentral lists this ribosomal RNA (481 nucleotides) under uncultured bacterium. RNAcentral describes it as "partial 16S ribosomal RNA". It matches the Rfam family "Bacterial small subunit ribosomal RNA", at positions 30 to 507 of the family's 1533-position model. The record is from RNAcentral.
AUUGAACGCUGGCGGCAUGCCUUACACAUGCAAGUCGAACGGUAACGGGCCUUCGGGUGCCGACGAGUGGCGAACGGGUGAGUAAUACAUCGGAACGUGCCCGAUCGUGGGGGAUAACGAGGCGAAAGCUUUGCUAAUACCGCAUACGAUCUACGGAUGAAAGCAGGGGACCGCAAGGCCUUGCGCGGACGGAGCGGCCGAUGGCAGAUUAGGUAGGUGGUGGGAUAAAAGCUUACCAAGCCGACGAUCUGUAGCUGGUCUGAGAGGAUGAGCAGCCACACUGAGACUGAGACACGGCCCAGACUCCUACGGGAGGCAGCAGUGGGAAUUUUGGACAAUGGGCGCAAGCCUGAUCCAGCCAUGCCGCGUGCAGGAUGAAGGCCUUCGGGUUGUAAACUGCUUUUGUACGGAACGAAAAGCCUUCUUUUAAUACAGGAGGGUCAUGACGGUACCGUAAGAAUAAGCACCGGCUAACUACGUG